AUACCCUCGGACGUGGUCGUGCCCUGCUGUCUACUAGGCACUGACGGCCCAAGAAGUAGCGUUGCACGCUCCUGAAGCGACCCCAGGUCAGGCGGGACUACCCGCUGAGUUUAAGCAUAUCAAUAAGCGGAGGAAAAGAAACUUACCAGGAUUCCCCUAGUAACGGCGAGCGAACCGGGAAAAGCCCAGA
This 190-nucleotide ribosomal RNA is filed under the name Tovomita umbellata. RNAcentral's name for it is "partial 26S ribosomal RNA". The stretch from base 78 to 190 matches the Rfam family "Eukaryotic large subunit ribosomal RNA", at positions 1 to 113 of the family's 3401-position model. Lineage: Eukaryota; Viridiplantae; Streptophyta; Magnoliopsida; Malpighiales; Clusiaceae. The record is from RNAcentral.